GAUGAAGAACGCAGCGAAAUGCGAUAAGUAAUGUGAAUUGCAGAAUUCAGUGAAUCAUCGAAUCUUUGAACGCACCUUGCACCCUUUGGCAUUCCGAAGGGUAUGCUCGUUUGAGUGUCAUUGUACUCUCACACUUCCGAUCUUUGGAUUGGGAGCGGUGGACUUGGGUGUUGCUGCUUACUGUGGCUCACCUCAAAUCGAUUCGUGCACCUCUUGGUUGGACAUAGUACGGCGUGAUAAGUGUCUUCGCCGGCACCUCAGUAGAGGGUGGCUGAUCGGGAGCUCUGCUUCAAACCGUCCUCGGACAACAACUGACAACUUGACCUCAAAUCGAGUAGGACUACCCGCUGAACUUAAGCAUGUCAAUAAGCGGAGGA
Molecule: unclassified non-coding RNA, 377 nt
Filed under: soil metagenome
Description: partial contains 5.8S ribosomal RNA, internal transcribed spacer 2, and large subunit ribosomal RNA
Rfam family: 5.8S ribosomal RNA (bases 1-120)
Source: RNAcentral